Molecule: small nuclear RNA, 99 nt
Filed under: Amborella trichopoda
Lineage: Eukaryota; Viridiplantae; Streptophyta; Magnoliopsida; Amborellales; Amborellaceae
Source: RNAcentral
AUAUUCAAAAACAUCUGAUAAAAUUGGAUUGAUACAGAGAAGAUUAGCAUGACCGGUGCAAGGAUGACACGAAUAAAUCGAGAAAUAGUCCAAAUUUUU